Molecule: long non-coding RNA, 1502 nt
Organism: Oryctolagus cuniculus (rabbit)
Lineage: Eukaryota; Metazoa; Chordata; Mammalia; Lagomorpha; Leporidae
Source: RefSeq, a predicted model, not a curated record
GGAAGGCAAGAAACCCUGUUUUAGGAACUGGGGCUGAUCACAUCUUAAAGCCACUUGCUGGGUACCAAGCCACACAUGUGGGGGAAGUCGUCCGUUCCCAGCAUGCUUUUGAAUCGAUGGAACCACCACGUGUGAGUCUUCUGCUACACAGAGAACUGCACCCCAGCGUCUGGCACUGCCAAGUGGCCCACGUGGAACUCCCACGCUGCCAGAUUGUGUGAAAGUAGCAAAAACAAGAGGCUGGUGGAGAACCAUGUGCUAGGAGGUCAGCUUGACUUCUCUCCUGAGAUGUUCACCUGGAUGCCUGCAGAGUGCGUCCUGGAAGCCUACGUGAUGGGGGUGAGGGUGAUGGAAAGUGCUAUUCGAGGUGGGUGAUUUCUUUACUUACACAGAAGACAAUGAGUGCUGCUAUGCCAUUUUCAUUCUGACCCCUAAAAAGUGAGUCCUGCAGAUGUGAAAUGAAGAUGAGAGGAAAGAAGGCAAAUUUAUUGGAGAAUAACACGAAUGCACAUUUAGAAAGCUCGGCAUGUAGAUAAUUGAAAGCAGAGAAGGAAAUGGUGUCUAGAUGGUAUUCCAAUUCGCAUGGCUUAAUUUCUAGCUGAUAAAGCGUAACCCAGUGUUAACCCUUGAAACACUUGAUGUAACAGAACAAGAGCUUUGGUGGAAGGUAAAUGACCUCCAUAACUCUCAAGGAGAGCAAGGAGAUUAGUUAGGGAAAAAUUUCAGGGCCUUCAUUUUUAAUUUGUUUUUUAUUAUCACACUUUCUGGAUGUUCUUAAUUGAGCUCCUAACUUAAAGCCCGUUAACAAUGUCUCACUGUAAUGGGCAAAACCCCAGCACGAUCUGCUGCUCCUGGCUCACACCUCCCUGAUCCCUUGUCCCAUCAUCCCCAUUACUGCCCGGCUUCCUCCUCACUGACGCUCAGCUGUGUCUUGGAUGGGACAAGCACCUAUCUACAUCAUGACUUCUAGCUUCAUCCUGCCUACACAGAGGGACGCCCCGAUGUGUUCCCUCAAACUCUCACAGCUGAGGGAAGCAGAUUUGCCCUUAGGAGGAUAUUUCACACGCAUAGGGAAAAAAAUUCACUGGACUACAAAUAAAACCAGCUAUAUUGAAAAACAGCACAAAUAAUUUCAAAUUAAAUGUGUUAUAUAGUAACGUGCACACUUCACUAAUUCAUCAAAAUAAUGACAACUGAGCAGAACAUUGAAUAAUAAUCAUAAUCUCAAAGCAGUGGUUAGAGUAGAUGAUAUUUCAAGGUGCUUCUAUGUUGUUAUGUAAACUAAAUAUCCUGGAAAAUUGGGCAAUGAAAUUGUUGACGCUACUAGGGGCUUUGUGGAUAACAUUGAAAAUGAUAACACUGAUAAUUGAAGGAAAUACUAAAUCUUAGUGAGAUGUUGGCCAGGGUAUCGUUUAUUUUUCUUUCUCUCUCUCUUCCUUCCUUCAUUUUUUUCUUUCUCUCUUUCUCUUUCUCUCUUUCUCUCCUUCCCUCCCUCCCUUCCU